CCCGUGGCAGCUCCCAUCUGGACUACAGCAGUGCCUGUCGAGGCAGGUUGUGAUCCAAGCCCCUACGCCUUCCAGAAGCCCUUCCUCUCUCUGACGACAGGCCGGUGUCCUCCGUAAGCGGACCGGUUCGGGUGCCCGACACACCUAGAUUCUGGUUUGAGCUGUUAUGGUCGCUGGUUGUGCUGUCUCCAGAAACUUCUCCCACCCCCCUUGGACCCGGGUUGCCUUUUCUGUGAAGUGGGACUGGGAAUCUCUGUUCUGCCUACCUUCUGGGGUUAUUUUGAAGUGGAGAAAAAGACGCUACACAUUCAUGGCAUCAUUUACGAAACGGAUAUUGAUCACUCAGCCGUGUGCCAGCCGCUGGAGAUGAAAGGCCGUCGUUCAACUGUAACGUGUUAUACAAAUACGACGCUCUCCUCCGAUGCGGAAAAUUCACGACCCGCGGGGUCAGACUGGGUGUGUUUGCUCUGCUUCCCUCACCUGUCUUCUCUCCCGGUAAGAGUGACCGCUAGCUACCCGAGUACUGCCCGCUCACAAACAUUCAGGGCAAAGCUAGCUCUAGUAAGAGAACUUCAUAAAUGGAAAACAUCAGCUGGCAUUAGAAAGAUCUAUGGUGACGAAACCUCUGUGUGUUUGGAAGCCUCACUAAUCUUGCACCAGAAGGCCGUCCGUGAGGGGAUGGUCAGUGACAUUUUUCCUAUUUGCUGCAACAUUGACAAGCAGGGCCCCAGACCGAGGACAAAGAGGAGAGCAUCACAAAUUGGCCAACGUUGGACAACAGAGUAACAGGAGCAAAGCAUCACUCCAGGUGGGCAGGCAGGAAACAGCUGGCUGGGAAAGGAGCCCAUGACCCAUUGCCCCAGUCCACCCUUGGCCUGGAAGAAGUCAGACCGGAAGUGGCCAGGGAACUUGCAAGACCUGCAAAGAGCCGGUGUUAAAGAGUCAGGUACCUUUUUGGAAGGACCGAGUUAUGAAAAGAGACCAGAGGAAUGUUAAAAUCCCUUUUAACGCGACGUUCUACGCCACGGCUAAUAUGACAGCAGCGGUGACCCAACCAUGGAAAACUAUCACCAAGUUCAAAACCAAUUUAAUAAUAAGAGAGAUUGCAAUUUUCUGACCGCUAGAGGGCAGGCCUGGCCACACCUUGAGGAAGAUCCAUUCUCCAGUGUAGUUGUGUCAAAGGAGUUACACCGGAGUUCAUUUAAACUGUUGCAAAGAGUGUGAAAAGGAAAAAUUGGGACGCGCACGGAGCUUGCAUCACCUGGCCGGCAGGACCUGCUCAUCUGUAAGGUGGAAUCCACGGUUCUUUCUCCUGCCCUAGUCAUGAGCUCACUUCUGUCAGAACCCCCAGUCGUCUAUGUUUGCGAAUGAUUAAACCACAGCCCGAUGUUCAGUUGACUGUGCUGCCUUCCAGUUAGCGUACAGAAAGGUGAAAUGGCUUGUCCAGAGCGACGGCCACCCGGCUUCUGAACGGUGAAGACCUGGCGUGGGGGCCCUGGCCUCCAGGCCUCCAGGCCUCCUGGGCCUCCUGCAGGCCUCUCCCACAGGGCAAGCACUUGCUGCUGCUACUUUGUUUUCAGCACCCCGACCACGGGUGAACCAAGACCAGAAGGUAAUCGAGCACAGUCCUCCUCGGCACUAGCGAUCGGUAGCCCUGUGGCAUUCUGAAGCAUUUGGGACUGAGUCUUCUGUGGCCCAGGGACAAGUCUCUCUACAACAAAGAUGAUAGACACCUGCCCUUGCUGACAGCAGUGUUCCAUUUGUUUCUUCGAACGAGUCUUGCUGCUGAGGGUACCAUCUGCCGGCCUGAACUUCCAGCCUGUUGCUCACCGAUUUCCUCCUUACGUCGCUCACGGUAAGUCACCGGAGAAUUCGAGCCCUGUUGUUCCUCCUUGAGCUGUACCCUUGGCCUCAGCACUUUGAUGAAGCGUUUUAAUCCUACAUGCGAGACCCGCUCGUUGUACUCAGGGAAGCCCUGUCCGUGAAAUAAUCCAAACCCUGUCAAAGGCUUCAGAUUGGGAUAUAAAGUGCUCUGGCAGUAACGCAACCUGGGAGCAUCUUUCAAAGGACUG
Long non-coding RNA from Leopardus geoffroyi (Geoffroy's cat), 2072 nucleotides. RefSeq lists it as uncharacterized. NCBI's taxonomy places the organism in Eukaryota, Metazoa, Chordata, Mammalia, Carnivora, Felidae. The transcript has 3 exons. The record is from RefSeq and is a predicted model, not a curated record.